UCAGUCUAUUUGAGGCAAGUAUUCCUUCUAGAAGUAUUUUAAAAUAAUUUUUGUAUUAGGUGGGGUAGUGUUUGUUUACCUUAGCAACGACCAUAAGCAGGUAAAUAUUUUUGUUUUUGUUUUUUUGUAAAUAAUACUUUUUAAUUAUUUUCUAAUGAAGUUAAAAUGCGAUAUGCUUAUAGAUAUAAAGGAAGUAGCUAAGGGAAUGUACUCUAUUACUUCACUGUCCCAGUCAACAAAAGCAUGUUUAUUUUCUGUUGGAUUUUGUGUAAUUUCUAGCAACAUUUUUUCGUUUUGGAUUGCUGCUGGUGAAAGACUCUUUUGUAUAUUUUGAUAUUUAGAUCUAUAUUCAUAUUGCAUUUUUAUUUGUGUAACAAUAAUGGCCAAUAAGCAUAAUAAAAGGCAAAGUUGUGGUAGAAAAAGAAAAUUUCGUGGGAAUAAAUACACCAACUUUCACCAAGUCUGCAAAGUCUACAAGUAGUACAAGUGAUGAUCAUGGACAAGUUGGUGAACAACAAGAGACACAUCAAGCUGCUUCACCUAAUGUAGAUAUUUCAUCUGAAUCAAGUUUAUCAGAUAAUCCACUGGAUUGUAAUAUCUUUUUAAACCUAGCAUGUUUUAAUAAUUUCUUGGCAAGUUACUUGAUAUGUCCUUUAGAAAUGCUUCAACUAUUCUCUAAAUUUGUUUUUGAAUGAAAGCGCAAGAAUUGGAUUUUGUCAGGAACUAAUUGUGAAAUGCACUUCAGCUGACUGCUCAUUUGAAGAAAGCUUUAGAUCUUCUAAAGAAAAUAGAGAUGGUCAAAAAAGAGGAUUUAGGGAAAUAAAUUUCAGAAUGGUAUCAUUUGUAAGAUCCAUAGGUCCAGGUCACAGUGCGCUCUUGAAUUUUUGUCAACACACAAACAGUCCACCUCCUAUUUCUGAAACAUCUUAUCAAUCUGUAAUGCAUACCAUAGGCCUUGCAUCUAAGAAAGUGGCAGAAGAAAGUAUGGAAAAGGCUGCAAGGGAAGUGAAAGAAAAGGUUGGAAUCAGCAACGAAGAAGGCAUCACUGACUGCGGUGUGAGCGUUGAUGGGACAUGGCAGCGUCGAGGGCACUCGAGCCAUCAUGGCGUUGUUACAGCCAUAUCAAUAGAAACAGCCUCUCAGCACGUCACGACGGAGAAAACAAUCUCUGCAACGCUUCAGAGAGAUACAUUAAGGGUUCUCCUGAUGCGGAAAAAAAGCCUGGGACAGAGUAUAAUCCAUGGCUGUUCUCUCCCUGCAGUGUCAGUUACUUUACCAGCUUUUUGAAGAAAAAAUUGAGCUCCAGGCUUCCGAAUCUAGACGCUCUAUCAUUGAAAUCUGCCAAGCAAUGUUAUGUGCAGAUGUUUUAAGAGGGUUAUGUAUCCCGCAUAUAGCACUCACUGGAACAUCUUGUGGCAAUGGAAAGGUCUGCAUAAAUGGACAAUGUGUCAGCGACCCAUACGCUCCUCAAAUUGAUGAAAACUGUGCAUUUGGAGACAGACCGAGCUAUUCUUGCAGUUUGUAUAUCAAUGACUUUAUGGGCAACUGUUACUCUACUCUUAACUAUCGAGCAUGUUGUGACACGUGUAACAAAGUGUCUAGGCCCGUGAAAGGCUGUGAAUACGGAGAUAGAAUCAUCGAUUGUACAAAAGAUCACUGCUUGAAUUCACAAGUGGAUUGCUGCGGCACGUGUAACUAUGGCACCCCCUUUACCCCAAUGUAUAGCACCAGAAGAAGCACACCUGAAAGAUUAGCCACGACAGUAAAUCCCCUUGUGCUAUUCACUUCAAUUAAAGAUUGUGUGAACAAGACUUGAGACCAGAACUGUGCACUAACUUUAGCGUCUGCCUAAUACAGCCAACACAGUGCUGUCACUACUGCUCGUCAUAUUACACGUCUGCAACUACAAGUACCACGACAACGAGACCAUUGAUAACAUCCACUUCACCCAAAACUAAAUGUGAACCAGGAGAUCUAGACUUGAGGCCAGAACUGUGCACUAACACUAGUGUCUGCCAGACAAAGUCAUCACUAUGCUGUCACUAUUGCUCGUUACAUUACAAGUCUGCAAAUACAAGUACCACACAAUUAACGCCCCCCAACGAGUGUGUACUAGGAGAACCAGAUUUAAGUCCACAGCUGUGUACUAGCCGUAGUAUCUGCCAGACACAGCCAUUGAUGUGCUGUAAAUAUUGUUCUUCCCAAGACAAUUCUGCAAGCCAUCUCUCUUUAUACACUAUUGGGAUAUAUUGUUUUUGUAUUGUGUUCUUUCUUUAUAUUAAAACAAAUGUCUAUUAAGUAGAUAAAGUAUAAAUGUCUAUUAGGUAGCUAAAGUACAAGACUCUUAGGUAGAUAAAGUACUUACCCUUGUUCGGAAUUUUUUUAAAGUUUUUGUCUAUUUCUUAUCUUUAUACCAUUUUAAGCAUUGUUUACACAAGGAAAUCAAUUAUAAUGAAGCAAUCUAUCAAUCAUAAUGAAGCAAUCGUUGGUGUACUGUGCAUGAAAUAAUAGACCUCUAAAACAUGUAACCAAGGCCGGCCUUAGAUAAUGAGCCUGCUUGUCCUUAAAAGUCAUUAUGAGGAACAUUU
RNA transcript from Biomphalaria glabrata, 2588 nucleotides. RefSeq lists it as uncharacterized. Lineage: Eukaryota; Metazoa; Mollusca; Gastropoda; Planorbidae. The record is from RefSeq and is a predicted model, not a curated record. The transcript is spliced from 9 exons.